CUUACCAAUCAAGCUCAGCUCAGGCAACACUUAUUGAAGAGGCCUACUCGUCUGUCUGUCUGACCUGCACGCAUGAAAUGCAGCGCCCCCAGAAAAGGGAUGUCAAUACGAAAUAAUGUACUGAGUAUGUAAGGCAAUAUACUGAAAGCUUAAACUGAACUGAUAAUAUAAUAACUGCAAGUAGCUGGAAGUCAAAGAUAAUCUGAAGAUAUGCUUACCUAUUGAUACUGACUCAAUUUUCUCAAUAUAAUAAGUAAAAUAGUUGUCCGGCCCUAUAAGGCUCGGUAUACAUAUAUAUCUGCUUUGUCGUAGUAGGCUCGCUCAUAAGCGCUUGGCCAUACUAGGCUCUGUAUCUCGACCAACUGGGCUCGCUCGUACGUGCUCGGCCACAGUAGGCUCGGUAUAUAUAUAAUUGCUCUGCCAUAGUAGGCUCUCUCAUACGUGCUCGGCCAUACUAGGCUCUGUAUCUCGACCAACUGGGCUCGCGCAUAAGCGCUCAUCCACAGUAGGCUCGGUAUAUAAUUUACCAUCUGAUCAGAGGUUGCCCAAUAGGGGUCUGCCCAUCGAUUAUAGCUCGAUGGUAAUGAAAAUACUUUUAAUACUAUAUAUAUAAACUUCUCUGCUCUCUUAACUGUAAGAAGAAAAUACUUAACUGAAUAUGAAGUCCCGAUAAGGAGAAUAUUAUAACUUACAACACUAGGAAAAUAUACGCAAUUUGCGAGACUAGCAAAAUAUACGUAAAUUCCGGGAUAUGAAUGUAAAGACGAGAUCAUGCCAAAUGAAAGAAGAGCUUAGCCUUAACAUACCUGGAGUAGGGAAAAAAUCCAUAUAAUAUCUCGGAAAAGAUUGUACCGUACUCCUUCAGAACCGUAAAAUUUUUACGUUACUACUGUUCUAACAAUUCUCGUUGGAAUUGUUUGCAAAAUUUCAUUGGAAGCCUUUUCUUUCCGGAUGAGCUUAGUGUUCUUCUUUUGAACAUUGAGAAUGAACGUGAGACACUUCUUUUGACUUCCAUUAUCAAGGAUUUAUUGCCUAUGAUUAUUUGAAAGAAGACUUUCAUUUGCGUUUUUGUUCUCCGCCAAAAA
Molecule: long non-coding RNA, 1085 nt
Filed under: Nicotiana tabacum (common tobacco)
Lineage: Eukaryota; Viridiplantae; Streptophyta; Magnoliopsida; Solanales; Solanaceae
Description: long non-coding RNA (NTAB_LNC003676)
Source: RNAcentral